Molecule: ribosomal RNA, 517 nt
Filed under: uncultured bacterium
Lineage: Bacteria
Description: bacterial SSU rRNA
Rfam family: Bacterial small subunit ribosomal RNA
Source: RNAcentral
AGAGUUGAUCAUGGCUCAGGAUGAACGCUAGCGACAGGCUUAACACAUGCAAGUCGAGGGCAUCACGGGAGUAGCAAUACAACUGGUGGCGACCGGCGCACGGGUGAGUAACGCGUAUGCAACCUACCUAUCAGAGGGGAAUAACCCGGCGAAAGUCGGACUAAUACCGCAUAAAACAGGGGCACCGCAUGGUGAUAUUUGUUGAAGAAAUUCGCUGAUAGAUGGGCAUGCGUUCCAUUAGGUAGUUGGUGAGGUAACGGCUCACCAAGCCGACGAUGGAUAGGGGAACUGAGAGGUUGGUCCCCCACACUGGUACUGAGACACGGACCAGACUCCUACGGGAGGCAGCAGUGAGGAAUAUUGGUCAAUGGGCGGGAGCCUGAACCAGCCAAGUCGCGUGAGGGAAGAAGGAUCUAUGGUUCGUAAACUUCUUUUGCAGGGGAAUAAAGUGCAGGACGUGUCCUGUUUUGUAUGUACCCUGAGAAUAAGGAUCGGCUAACUCCGUGCCAGCCGCCGC